Molecule: transfer RNA, 75 nt
Filed under: Oscillospiraceae bacterium
Lineage: Bacteria; Bacillati; Bacillota; Clostridia; Eubacteriales; Oscillospiraceae
Description: tRNA-Arg
Rfam family: tRNA
About the family: Transfer RNA (tRNA) molecules are approximately 80 nucleotides in length. Their secondary structure includes four short double-helical elements and three loops (D, anti-codon, and T loops). Further hydrogen bonds mediate the characteristic L-shaped molecular structure. tRNAs have two regions of fundamental functional importance: the anti-codon, which is responsible for specific mRNA codon recognition, and the 3' end, to which the tRNAs corresponding amino acid is attached (by aminoacyl-tRNA synthetases). tRNAs cope with the degeneracy of the genetic code in two manners: having more than one tRNA (with a specific anti-codon) for a particular amino acid; and 'wobble' base-pairing, i.e. permitting non-standard base-pairing at the 3rd anti-codon position.
Source: RNAcentral
GCCUUCAUAGUUAAAUGGAUAUAACGGAUCCCUCCUAAGGAUCAGUUACAGGUUCGAUUCCUGUUGAGGGUGCCA